RNAcentral lists this long non-coding RNA (754 nucleotides) under Bos taurus (domestic cattle). Its description in RNAcentral is "long non-coding RNA NONBTAT017721". The record is from RNAcentral. Lineage: Eukaryota; Metazoa; Chordata; Mammalia; Artiodactyla; Bovidae.
CAAAGGCCCAUCACAGCCCAAACACAUAAAGUGAAUUUUCAGAAAGGAUAUCAGCCGUUAGCUCAGUGUAAGACCUCCCAGAAUGUUCAGAAAAUAGAUCACUGAUAACAAGAUCAGUGAUUACAGAUCACUAACAGUGACAAGACUUAACUGAACCUUCAUAGGUUCCUUCAUUUAAUCCUUACUAUAACCCUGUUUUCAUUUCCAGUUUUUACUAAGAAGGAAAGUAAAGAUAAAAAUAUGUUUGAAGAGAUGGCCCCUGUGGAGGAUUGUCUAGCUAGGACUGAGUUCGUUUGAAUCACGAGAAAACCAGAAGCCAACAUUUAUAGUAUCUGUCCCUUUACCCAGACAAGGGCAUUGGAACUGAGAGCUGUGCAUCUGUCUCGUUUGUUUUCUGAAUCCAUUUUAAACCUUUUUACACUUGACACAGGCUGCGCUGUCUUUGAAAGUCACUGGUGAUCAGCUGGGUAUAUUUGUACAGGGCGGCUAUUUUUAGCACUGUACUGAGAGAGUAAAUUUUGUAACUUAUUACUUGACUUAACUAAGAUCUUCCCCCCACACACAAAUCCCUCUAAUGUGCUGGACAAUGUCUUUACGUUUCUCUCUUUUUAAAAUGAGACAACAAAAAUGACUUAAAAAAAAAAGGCUUCAAGAUUAUAAAUGAGAGGUUUAUGGUGAAUUGAGCAAGGUAUCCAGAUAUGGUACUGCGUCCUUUUUGUGACGGGAAAAAAGUACAUCAACAAACACUCAAAAA